This 76-nucleotide transfer RNA is filed under the name Rhodospirillaceae bacterium. RNAcentral's name for it is "tRNA-Glu". It matches the Rfam family "tRNA". From Rfam's summary of the family: Transfer RNA (tRNA) molecules are approximately 80 nucleotides in length. Their secondary structure includes four short double-helical elements and three loops (D, anti-codon, and T loops). RNAcentral also lists the same sequence under 3 other names. Lineage: Bacteria; Pseudomonadati; Pseudomonadota; Alphaproteobacteria; Rhodospirillales; Rhodospirillaceae. The record is from RNAcentral.
GUCCCCUUCGUCUAGUGGCCUAGGACAUCGCCCUCUCACGGCGAAAACACGGGUUCGAGUCCCGUAGGGGACGCCA